This 1445-nucleotide ribosomal RNA is filed under the name uncultured Banisveld eukaryote. RNAcentral describes it as "SSU rRNA". It matches the Rfam family "Eukaryotic small subunit ribosomal RNA", at positions 1 to 1472 of the family's 1831-position model. The record is from RNAcentral.
GAUUCUGGUUGAUCCUGCCAGUAGUCAUAUGCUUGUCUCAAAGAUUAAGCCAUGCAUGUCUAAGUUUAAGCAAUAAACAGUGAAACUGCGAAUGGCUCAUUAAAUCAGUCAUAGUUUAUUUGAUGGUACCUUACUACAUGGAUAACUGUGGUAAUUCUAGAGCUAAUACAUGCUGAAAAAUCCCGACUUCUGGAAGGGAUGUAUUUAUUAGAUCCAAAACCAAUGGCCUUCGGGUCCCUAUGGUGAAUCAUGAUAACUGCUCGAAUCGCAUGGCCUUGCGCCGGCGAUGCUUCAUUCAAAUAUCUGCCCUAUCAACUUUCGAUGGUAGGAUAGAGGCCUACCAUGGUGAUGACGGGUAACGGGGAAUAAGGGUUCGAUUCCGGAGAGAGGGCCUGAGAAACGGCCCUCAGGUCUAAGGACACGCAGCAGGCGCGCAAAUUAUCCCCUGGCAACACUUUGCCGAGAUAGUGACAAUAAAUAACAAUGCAGGGCUCUUACGGGUCUUGCAAUUGGAAUGAGUACAAUUUAAAUCCCUUAACGAGGAUCAAUUGGAGGGCAAGUCUGGUGCCAGCAGCCGCGGUAAUUCCAGCUCCAAUAGCGUAUAUUAAAAUUGUUGCCGUUAAAAAGCUCGUAGUCGAACUUCGGGCUCUGUCAGCCGGUCCGCCUUCUUGGUGUGUACUUGUUUGACGGAGCCUUACCUCCUGGUGAACGGCGAUGUCCUUUACUGGGUGUCGUCGCAAACCAGGACUUUUACUUUGAAAAAAUUAGAGUGUUCAAAGCAGGCCUUUGCCCGAAUACAUUAGCAUGGAAUAAUAAAAUAGGACGCGCGUUCCCAUUUUGUUGGUUUCUGAGAUCGCCGUAAUGAUUAAUAGGGAUAGUUGGGGGCAUUUGUAUUCCGUCGUCAGAGGUGAAAUUCUUGGAUUGCCGGAAGACAAACUACUGCGAAAGCAUUUGCCAAGGAUGUUUUCAUUGAUCAAGAACGAAGGAAGGGGGAUCGAAAACGAUUAGAUACCGUUGUAGUCUCUUCUGUAAACUAUGCCAAUUGGGGAUCGGUACAGGAUUUUUAAUGACUGUAUCGGCACCCGAAGAGAAAUCUUUAAAUGAGGUUCGGGGGGGAGUAUGGUCGCAGGGCUGAAACUUAAAGGAAUUGACGGAAGGGCACCACCAGGUGUGGAGCCUGCGGCUUAAUUUGACUCAACACGGGGAAACUCACCAGGUCCAGACACAAUAAGGAUUGACAGAUUGAUAGCUCUUUCUUGAUCUUGUGGUUGGUGGUGCAUGGCCGUUCUUAGUUGGUGGAGUGAUUUGUCUGGUUAAUUCCGAUAACGAACGAGACCUUAACCUGCUAAAUAGACCAGCCGGCUUUGGCUAGCUGCUGUCUUCUUAGAGGGACUAUCAGCGUUUAGCUGAUGGAAGUUUGAGGCAAUAACAGGUCUGUGAUGCCC